Molecule: ribosomal RNA, 628 nt
Filed under: uncultured delta proteobacterium
Lineage: Bacteria; Deltaproteobacteria
Description: bacterial SSU rRNA
Rfam family: Bacterial small subunit ribosomal RNA
Source: RNAcentral
AGAGUUUGAUCAUGGCUCAGAACGAACGCUGGCGGCGUGCUUAACACAUGCAAGUCGAACGCGAAAGUUUUCUUCGGAAAACGAGUAGAGUGGCGCACGGGUGAGUAACGCGUAAGUUAUCUACCCUCCCAUCUGGAAUAACCCACCGAAAGGUGUGCUAAUACCGGAUACGUUGGAAACAAGAAAGGUGGCCUCUAUUUAUAAGCUACCGUGGGGGGAUGAGCUUGCGUACCAUUAGCUGGUUGGUAGGGUAAUGGCCUACCAAGGCGACGAUGGUUAGCGGGUCUGAGAGGAUGAUCCGCCACACUGGAACUGAAACACGGACCAGACUCCUACGGGAGGCAGCAGUGAGGAAUAUUGCGCAAUGGGGGAAACCCUGACGCAGCGACGCCGCGUGGAUGAUGAAGGCCCUUGGGUCGUAAAAUCCUGUCAGUUGGGAAGAAAUGCAUAUUGGCCAAUACCCAUUAUGUUUGACGGUACCAGCAAAGGAAGCACCGGCUAACUCCGUGCCAGCAGCCGCGGUAAUACGGAGGGUGCAAGCGUUGUUCGGAAUUACUGGGCGUAAAGCGCACGUAGGUGGUCUAUUAAGUCAGAUGUGAAAGUCCCUGGCUCAACUGGGGAAGUGCAU